AUCCAAGGAUCUUCCCAGACGCGA
RNAcentral lists this non-coding RNA (24 nucleotides) under Arabidopsis thaliana (thale cress). The record is from RNAcentral. Lineage: Eukaryota; Viridiplantae; Streptophyta; Magnoliopsida; Brassicales; Brassicaceae.